UAGGGAAUCUUCCACAAUGGACGAAAGUCUGAUGGAGCAACGCCGCGUGAGUGAAGAAGGUUUUCGGAUCGUAAAACUCUGUUGUAAGGGAAGAACACGUACGAGAGUAACUGCUCGUACCAUGACGGUACCUUAUUAGAAAGCCACGGCUAACUACGUGCCAGCAGCCGCGGUAAUACGUAGGUGGCAAGCGUUGUCCGGAAUUAUUGGGCGUAAAGCGCGCGCAGGCGGUUCUUUAAGUCUGAUGUGAAAGCCCACGGCUCAACCGUGGAGGGUCAUUGGAAACUGGAGAACUUGAGUACAGAAGAGGAAAGCGGAAUUCCACGUGUAGCGGUGAAAUGCGUAGAGAUGUGGAGGAACACCAGUGGCGAAGGCGGCUUUCUGGUCUGUAACUGACGCUGAGGCGCGAAAGCGUGGGGAGCAAACAGGAUUAGAUACCCUGGUAGUCCACGCCGUAAACGAUGAGUGCUAAGUGUUAGGGGGUUUCCGCCCCUUAGUGCUGCAG
RNAcentral lists this ribosomal RNA (505 nucleotides) under uncultured Bacillota bacterium. RNAcentral's name for it is "bacterial SSU rRNA". It matches the Rfam family "Bacterial small subunit ribosomal RNA", at positions 355 to 851 of the family's 1533-position model. Lineage: Bacteria; Bacillati; Bacillota. The record is from RNAcentral.